RNAcentral lists this ribosomal RNA (253 nucleotides) under uncultured bacterium. RNAcentral describes it as "partial 16S ribosomal RNA". It matches the Rfam family "Bacterial small subunit ribosomal RNA", at positions 524 to 776 of the family's 1533-position model. The record is from RNAcentral.
UACGAAGGGGGCUAGCGUUGUUCGGAUUUACUGGGCGUAAAGCGUGCGUAGGCGGUUCGUUAAGUCUGUCGUGAAAGCCCUGGGCUCAACCUGGGAAUUGCGAUGGAUACUGGCGAGCUAGAGUACGGUAGAGGAUGGUGGAAUUCCCGGUGUAGCGGUGAAAUGCGUAGAGAUCGGGAGGAACACCCGUGGCGAAGGCGGCCAUCUGGACCAGUACUGACGCUGAGGCACGAAAGCGUGGGGAGCAAACAGG